UAUUCUUAGACCCCUACGACAUCAGGAGAUAAAAGCAAAUUCGACAUCAUGAGAUAAAAGCAAAUUCGAACUCAUAUUCUUAGACCCCUAUGAUAUUCUUGGACCCCUACGACAUCAGGAGAUAAAAGCAAAUUCUCGAUGCCAUUACACGACAUCUGAAGAUAGAAGCAAAUUCGACAUCCGGAGAGUGAAGCGAAUUCCCGAUGCCAUUACACAGACAUGGGGAGAUAGAAGUGAAUUCCCAACGCAUUAAUUAAGCGUCGGCAGUUUUGGGCAUAACUCCCAUGGGCAGCAUCGGGAGUUGGUCUUUAAAAACCGUCCCAGAUUUGUACUUCACAGAUCUGCGAAGAAUGGAGAAUGAUAUAGUUAUAAUUCUAUGGAGAGAGGUGCUAGGUCUAUAACCCACCUCCUCCCACCGUGAUCAGGGUUGGCACGCGGUCAAGGUUGGCGUCGUCAUUGCCGUCUUCAUCUAGGCUCCUGAAGAAGAGGGUCACUGUUGUCCCGGUACCUUGUGUAGCAAACUUGUUUGACGCAUUGAACGUGGGACCUGCAGCAGAAGGUUAAAAAUUCCUUAAAAACUUGUGACCGAUAGACUCACUGUGCACGUUUGGUAGACUGGAACAUGAAUAACUGCCCGAUUAACAAAAGCAUAUUAAAAAUAAAUAAAUUCCACGAAA
Molecule: long non-coding RNA, 677 nt
Organism: Cucumis sativus (cucumber)
Lineage: Eukaryota; Viridiplantae; Streptophyta; Magnoliopsida; Cucurbitales; Cucurbitaceae
Exons: 2
Source: RefSeq, a predicted model, not a curated record